RNAcentral lists this ribosomal RNA (496 nucleotides) under uncultured bacterium. Its description in RNAcentral is "partial 16S ribosomal RNA". It matches the Rfam family "Bacterial small subunit ribosomal RNA", at positions 29 to 507 of the family's 1533-position model. The record is from RNAcentral.
AUGAACGCUGGCGGCGUGCCUAAUACAUGCCAGUCGAGCGAACAGAUGAGGAGCUUGCUCCUCUGACGUUAGCGGCGGACGGGUGAGUAACACGUGGAUGACCUACCUAUAAGACUGGGAUAACUUCGGGAAACCGGAGCUAAUACCGGAUAAUAUAUUGAACCGCAUGGUUCAAUAGUGAAAGACGGUUUUGCUGUCACUUAUAGAUGGAUCCGCGCCGCAUUAGCUAGUUGGUAAGGUAACGGCUUACCAAGGCAACGAUGCGUAGCCGACCUGAGAGGGUGAUCGGCCACACUGGAACUGAGACACGGUCCAGACUCCUACGGGAGGCAGCAGUAGGGAAUCUUCCGCAAUGGGCGAAAGCCUGACGGAGCAACGCCGCGUGAGUGAUGAAGGUCUUCGGAUCGUAAAACUCUGUUAUUAGGGAAGAACAAAUGUGUAAGUAACUAUGCACGUCUUGACGGUACCUAAUCAGAAAGCCACGGCUAACUACGUG